This 59-nucleotide transfer RNA is filed under the name Cercosaura parkeri. RNAcentral describes it as "tRNA-Ser". The record is from RNAcentral. Lineage: Eukaryota; Metazoa; Chordata; Lepidosauria; Squamata; Gymnophthalmidae.
AAGCGUGUAAUAAGUACUGCUAAUACUUAAAACCAGAGUUUAACCCUUUGGCACUCUUA